RNAcentral lists this ribosomal RNA (490 nucleotides) under uncultured bacterium. RNAcentral's name for it is "partial 16S ribosomal RNA". It matches the Rfam family "Bacterial small subunit ribosomal RNA", at positions 30 to 507 of the family's 1533-position model. The record is from RNAcentral.
AUUGAACGCUGGCGGCAGGCUUAACACAUGCAAGUCGAGCGGUAGCACAGGGGAGCUUGCUCCCUGGGUGACGAGCGGCGGACGGGUGAGUAAUGUCUGGGAAACUGCCUGAUGGAGGGGGAUAACUACUGGAAACGGUAGCUAAUACCGCAUAACGUCGCAAGACCAAAGAGGGGGACCUUCGGGCCUCUUGCCAUCAGAUGUGCCCAGAUGGGAUUAGCUAGUAGGUGGGGUAAUGGCUCACCUAGGCGACGAUCCCUAGCUGGUCUGAGAGGAUGACCAGCCACACUGGAACUGAGACACGGUCCAGACUCCGACGGGAGGCAGCAGUGGGGAAUAUUGCACAAUGGGCGCAAGCCUGAUGCAGCCAUGCCGCGUGUGGGAAGAAGGACUUCGGGUUGUAAAGCACUUACAGCGAGGAGGAAGGUGGUGAGCUUAAUACGUUCAUCAAUUGACGUUACUCGCAGAAGAAGCACCGGCUAACUCCGUG